This 468-nucleotide ribosomal RNA is filed under the name uncultured bacterium. RNAcentral describes it as "partial 16S ribosomal RNA". It matches the Rfam family "Bacterial small subunit ribosomal RNA", at positions 28 to 507 of the family's 1533-position model. The record is from RNAcentral.
GACGAACGCUGGCGGCGUGCUUAACACAUGCAAGUCGAACGGAAAGGCCCUGCUUUUGUGGGGUGCUCGAGUGGCGAACGGGUGAGUAACACGUGAGUAACCUGCCCUUGUCUUUGGGAUAACUUCAGGAAACUGGGGAUAAUACCGGAUAGGAGCUCCUGCUGCAUGGUGGGGGUUGGAAAGUUUCGGCGGUUGGGUAUGGACUCGCGGCUUAUCGGCUGCUUGGUGGGGUAGUGGCUUUCCAGGGUUUUGACGGGUAGCCGGCCUGGGAGGUUUACCGGGCACAAGGGUACUGAGAUAGGGCGCAGACGCGAACGGGAGGCAGCAGGGGGGAGCAUGGCAGAACGGGCGGAAGCCAGAGGCGGCGACGCCGGGUGCGGGAUGACGGGCUUCGGGGUGUGAACCGAUGUCGCCUGUGACGAAGCGGGAUUGACGGUAAUGGGUAAAGAAGCACCGGCUAACUACGUG